Molecule: ribosomal RNA, 198 nt
Filed under: uncultured bacterium
Lineage: Bacteria
Description: partial 16S ribosomal RNA
Rfam family: Bacterial small subunit ribosomal RNA
Source: RNAcentral
ACGCUCGACACCUACGGGAGGCAGCAGUGGGGAAUAUUGCACAAUGGGGGAAACCCUGAUGCAGCGACGCCGCGUGAAGGAUGAAGUAUUUCGGUAUGUAAACUUCUAUCAGCAGGGAAGAAAGUGACGGUACCUGACUAAGAAGCCCCGGCUAACUACGNGCCAGCAGCUGCGGUAAUCUGAGCGGGCUGGCAAGGC